This 178-nucleotide unclassified non-coding RNA is filed under the name uncultured Bartalinia. RNAcentral describes it as "sequence contains ITS1". Lineage: Eukaryota; Fungi; Ascomycota; Sordariomycetes; Amphisphaeriales; Sporocadaceae. The record is from RNAcentral.
CAGAGUUAUCUAACUCCCAAACCCAUGUGAACUUACCACUGUUGCCUCGGCAGAUGUUGCUGGGCGAACCUACCCUGUAAGCAAUUACCUGGGAACGGCUUACCCUGUAGCGCCUGCCGGUGGACUACUAAACUCUUGUUAUUUUUAAGUAAUCUGAGCGUCUUAUUUUAAUAAGUCA